Molecule: long non-coding RNA, 7938 nt
Organism: Gasterosteus aculeatus aculeatus (three-spined stickleback)
Lineage: Eukaryota; Metazoa; Chordata; Actinopteri; Perciformes; Gasterosteidae
Source: Ensembl
GUCACGACGGGGGGGGGGGACGUUACGACGGAGGGUGGCGGAACAUUACGACGGCCGACGGAUGGCGGGUGGCGCGGACGGCACGGCCGUCGGGGGGCUGCAAAAUGAAUCGAUAUUUAAAAAAAGACAGGGCCAGCCUCCCAUCCCUCAUCUCUCACACUAGCAAAGUCAUCCGGCAAAUUCCAAAUAAAUCCGGCGGGGCCGUCCACACACACCGGCUGCCCAUCCAGUGCGGCCCGCCGCGCGUUUAACGCGUGUGAAAUAGAGGGAUACACUAACAAAACAGUAAAACUGUACUGUAAAUCUGUAAAUCUACGGUGCAUUUCUAACGGUAUCUUACAGUAUGUCAUAAUAACUGUAACAUACAGUUACAUUUCCAUCCUUUGCUUGUAAAUUAACGGCCAAUAUCACGAAUUAAUGUGUAUGUGUAAAGGCAUCAAAUAAACUCCAACCACUAUGACCGAAAUGAGUUUGGUUGUCCUUCUUUAAUUUGUGGGCAAUUAAAUGCAAAAGUAUACAGUUAUAAGUAAACGGUAACAUUCUGGUAUUUAUAACACAAAAACAGUAAUCAUAUGGUAACAAACUGUAAUCCAAUAUACAACAACAUACCGUAUAUUACGGUAGGGCACUGUAAAUAAAACAAGUUACUAGCGUCGACUGCCAGUAAAUUGCAGUUAAUUCACAGUAAAAUUGGUUCAAGUUUACGGUAACAUACAGUAAUCCAUUUUACGGUAACAUAAUGUAAAAACCAUUUCCGGUAUUAUACCAUAAAAUAACGGUAAAUUCCUGGCUUCCUUCCUGCCUGUAAAAUACCGUUAAUUUACGGUGACAUUUUUUAGAGUGUAGAGUUGUGCUCACAUGCCCACAAAACGUUUUAAGAAUUGGACAGCUUUUUAGAAUAUAUAUAUAUAUAUAUAUAUAUAUAUAUAUUCUAAUAUAUAUAUACCACUCUUUGAGCUCUAGUUUGUCCUGCCAGGAUUUUAAACCUGGGCGUGGAUGCAGUCAGGGUCUGUCCUAGUUACGUGGAGGUACUUAUUGUGCCUCGUAAUGGCGUUUCACAUAUAGGUCACUUUCAAUAAUUACCGGUGUUGGUGCACCUGCUGUUUCUUCUUCUCCCACAUGAUUCUCUUUCCUUUUAAUGUAAUUUCUUUCCACUUUACGUCAUGUCCGUGAGUCAGACAUGAUUCUAUUUGUAAUCAUUAAUCUGCAAAAAAUAUAAAAUUCAUUUUAAAGAGAGGUUUUGGUAUAACCUUGUAAGAAGGUGUACGAACUGCAAUGGGGGCAAGAGUGGGUUGUUUGAAUUAAACAUAGUAGACUAAGCUCUGUCUGAAGAGAACCUUAGACACAUCAAGGACCUUUAACCUCUGCUCUGGUCACAUUCAAUUCAGUUUGCAUAGUGUGACACAAAGUGUAAUAAAAAGUAUAAUAUUGGCCUCAGUCUAAUCUCUGAAUAUUACCAAAGUGGACUUUCAUACAUUCAAAUAUGUCCAUCACCAUCAUGAUGAAGCCAUACCAAGGUUUCACCUCAUUUCUCCGUCUCUCUCCCUCACUAUCAUCCAUCUCUAUCUCUCUCGCCCUCCUCCUCUCUCCUUUUGUUUGUGUCCUUUGCCCACUGCGGUGGUCUCUGGUUUCCUUAAUGGUUCCCAAGAUGCAUUGUGGCUUUGUGGGAGCGGUAAAGCGCAAGGGAAUGCGUUUGUGCGAAUGUGUGCGAAAUUGAGAGAGAGUCUGUGUGUGAGUGUGUGUGAGAGAGAGAGAGUGUGUGUGUGGGCUGCGAGAGGUGAUGCGGUCAUUUCGACACAUGAGAGGUUUUCCAUCAGCAGCUAGAGGCUGAGCGAGCCGCUUCAAAGGCACUUACACACACACACACAUACACACACACACACAUUUUCAUGGACGCACUCAAAAUAAGUAAAUUUACACAUUAGGAUGCUCUGUGCUGUUAAAUUGUAUUGAGUCCAAGACAUACAUUUUUUUGUUUUAUCGUCUUGUUUUAGUGUUAUAACCGAUCCUGUGUUUUAUCGCUGGUUAGGACUUCACCGUGUUAUGUACAUGUUGUUUCCUUCAAUUAAGAGACGUUUGAGUAGCUCAAAAAUAACCCAAGUUAAUAAGCACCAAUGCUGAUUCAUGACCUGGCUCAGUACGCCCUGGCACUGUGUUCAUAUGGGAGGAUUCCACAGCGCUACGCUAGUGUCCCCACUGAGUCGCUUCCAGUAGCAAUGCAGCAACUAUGUGUGUGUCUAUAGGCGUAAAUAAAUACAUAAACUCAAAGCUCUUCAACACCACAUGGCAUCAAUCACUCAUUCAUACCAUGAAUCAUGACAGUUACCACCCAUCCGUAACUAAACAUUCACACACCAGCUACCGUGGUCACAGCUACGGGAGCACUUUUGGAUUGAAUUUACAUGUCUUCCCCACGGAGCUGGGGAUCGAACAGCCGCUCCUCUGAAUGAAGGAUGGCCGUGCUCCACCACUGAGUCACAGUCGCCCCUGACCUUUUGCCGUUAUUAUUCUGUUAACGCAGAAUAGGACAGUGCUAAGUCAGGUGAUGUAGUAUAAAGAGCUGCUAACAGCUCCAACAAACACAGGACUCUCACCCUGGAGACAGAAAUCCUGUCCUGUGUAAAACCAUUUUUUUAUUUUGCCACACAUUAAAAUGCUUAUUUUAACCCAAACUACAAGACCUAACCAAGUAGUUUCUUUGCAUGAACAGGUUCUGAUCUCCUUUGCUAAGACGGAUGCUUCUUUUAAAAAGAUCAUGCUGUUGCAUGAGGGUGCAUUGACACAAGGAAUACGUUUUUUAGGAAAACACGCACACUUUUGAAUUCGAAAUCACUUUGGAAUUAAAGAGCUGAUCAUAACUUUCCGACCUUGAUUCAUAUGCUUUUUUGGAGAUCAAGUUUGUUUAUUCAUUGUAAUAUUCCAAACAGCGAGGCCUUUACAACUCUUGAAUUUCAGGCCAGAUUAGACAGUUGACCUCAGGUGACCUUUGGACACACAUCAGCUUGCUAUCCCUUUCUGUCACAACAAACGCAGCACUUCUGGGAAAAUUAUACCGAUUCAGCAUUAUUGCAAAGCAGACAUCCUCAGAGUUCAACGUGUUAGUUGGACUGUGUGUGUGUGUGUGAGAGACACGGCUCAAUAUGUUUGCUCAAACUAAUUAAAGGCCGGUCGGUGGCGAUGGCGACGAUGGAUGUGUUUUUAAUGAUGUGAGCGGCAGCAAAUAUGCAAAACGCCCCGGAGACUUGAUUACCUCAUCGAUUUUCAUCUUAUGUGGCAUCAAAUGUGAAUAAAAAUUCACAUAUUAGUAGGUGAAGGGGAUGGGGGGGGCUGCAGUGGAGGUCCAACAGAUGCAAAGGUGUGUGCAAUGAACCGCGGGCUUAUCAUCUUUCUACCAUCAUAGGAACUUUUUUCUUCGUAAAACUUUUCUCUCUGACUUCAGACGUGACCUCUGGUGGAGCUGAGGUGAACUCUACUCCUGCAGCGUGGGUGUGUUAGCGAGUGGUGGCUCGUCUCACGUUGAAGGACAAUCUGUUGUCCCACAGGCUACCCUAGUGGUCCUCUGGCAGACAGUAGAGGGCCCUCUACUGAUUGGGCCCCCCUGGCUCCACCUUCCUACAGCUGACAUCCAUCUUCUAGAGGCCUCACACCGUCAUUUGGUUGGAGGUAACCUUGUUUUAAUACAUUUUCAGUUAAAUAUCUCACAGGGACUGUCUCAUACCUAAACGUCUUAGUGACAACUCAAUGUGGCCCACAGGGUUGCUCAUUCUGUUGUGUCUCUGACUCCGAGGGUCUGCGUUACAAGCUUUAGCUGUCAGGAUUGGAUGAUGGGGGCAUUCACCAGAUAGAGGGGGGCUCGUAAAAAGAGCUUCUAGCUGCAUUUUGGAGGAAAUUUUUGGAGGUGUUUUGGAGGAAAACACAACUCAAUUUUAUCUAUUUAGGACAAUUGUCAUGUAGUUAGUAUACUGCAUAUGAGAACAUUAUAUGAACGAUAUUUUAAAGAUAUUAAAAAGAAUGUUAGAAAAAUUAAUUUUCAUUCAUUUACUUUUGAUUUUAAGUUCAAAGUAGACCAAAAUAUGCAUAUUCACUUUUAUAUACACACAUAUAUAUAUAUACAUACACACACACACACACACACACACAGGUUUAUUCUCUAUAUAUACAGUAUUUAAAUAUCCAUGUCUCUUUCACUGUUCUCCCGCAUGUCCUCUCUUACUUAUUCACUCUCCCCCCUUCUCUACCAUGCCAGGUAAUUUGAUGCUGAAAUAUGUAUCUAACGAUAUUUAAUAAAUUAUGUAUCUGUUAUUUACUAAUGGCCCUAUCGACUGCAGAACCCGCUGCCUGAUAGGGAGACAGAGAGAGGGAGGGGGAGAUAGCGAAGGGAGAGAGAGAAAGACAAGCCUUAAAAGGGUUCCAGUUGUCCCUGGGGGAGGGGUGGGUGGACGGACAGGGGGGGACAGGAGUGAUGCCAUCAGUCUCUCGGUCUUCACUCCCUCCUCCAUGUGAGGACAGACAGUAUUGCAAUCAGAAACACUGCUGUAAGUUGUGCUCUGAGAAAAGUUCACCCUGGGGUCCAGUAAAAGUGGUGUCCAAGCAGCUAAUCUAAUACUAAAAUUCGCUCAGUGCUUAAUGUGCAUUGAAAAAAUAGAAACUCCAUAUAACGGAUCUCGGUACGGAGAAGUCAAAUUCAAAUUCCUGUAUUUUUCGAUUUCUAAAUCUUCUGGCAGUGUCGUACCGGUCCCAAGGUCAUUGGGACCAGAAUGUAAACGAGAACAAAAAAGAUUUCAUAGUGACAGCUGUGAAAAAACGUCAACAAAAAGUCAUCAAGAAAGCUCUUUUUGUGUGAACAAAGCGAGGCAUCAAUUGUUCCAGAGAAAUCAUCAUUGGAAACGAUUACAAAUGCAACCGUUACGGCUGGAGUCUGUGUUUCGUGUGUGUAUUUGUAUGUGUGUGGGUAUUUCUUAUCAGCAUUGGCUUCAAAGCUCUGUGGCACCGAACCUGGGAUCAAUGGGCCUAGACCAGCAGACGCAGAGCUGGGGCGGGUGUGUACUGGAUGUCAGUGUGUGUGUGUGUGUGUGUGUGUGUCUGUGUCUACUGUUCCGCACUUCUUGUGUAUAUCCAAGUGUGCAUCUGUACAUCACUGUUUGUCUUUAAAUAAUAAAGUAUGUGUGUGUGUGUGUGUGUGUGUGUGUGUGUGUGUGUGUGUGAUCUUAGUGGAGCCAGUAUGUGACCAGAUAAUGUUGCAUAUCGGACCAAUUGGAGAGACCUCAACCAAUACACAUCUCAAGUGCAUGACAGCGCAGACGUGUCUCUUUGUGUGUGUGCGUGUGUGUGUGUGUGUGUGUGUGUGUGUGUGUGUGUGUGCGUGUUGGUCAAUAUAUUUGAUUGUUCCAGGAGUUGUAUUAGUGGAAAAACAACAGCGCAGAAUUUAUUAGAGUAGCGGCAGACACAGAGACAUGCUGUCUGUGGUUGCGCGCACACACACACACACACACACACGCGUGUCUUUGUGCUGCUGUUGUUUUGUGUUGUUUGCCCUUCAUCCUGCAUCAUAUAACUGUCAGUGCUCACAAUAGGCACACAUUCAGAGUUAUUCUCUUCUUCCUGUGUGAACCGAAUGGGUUGAGGAGCUCACUGCACUCAGCCCAGAUAUGGAAAAAACACAUUUACAUCAAUGCACAAGUAAAAACGUAGACUAGAGCUUCAAGAUACGCGCAGGCCGGAAAAAAGCCCCAAAUGGUUUUUAUGGUUACAGAUAUCUACAACCAACAUUUCCACGAUCUCUGUGGUUGAUUCAUUCAUGCUUCAGGCUUCGUUAUUGACAUUCUAUCUAAAGAGAAUUUCAUUGUAUGUUUCUUCGUUGUAAAUAUAACAUUAUGUGAGAUUGGAAUUCUUACUAGUGACAAUUGUUGAAACGUCCCGUUAAAAUAUUUUUAUAAGAAUUAAUUGUGUGUACUUUGAAAACCAGUGUCAACUUCUGUAUAUGACAUUCGUUUCUAAUAACUAACUUUAGACAAAACUAUUCAGCCAUCACUGUUUGGGUUGCCAUGACGAUAGAAGUACAUAAACUACUUGUCAAAUACAUCAAGUUUGACUUUUUUUGUGGAUUGAAAUAAUUAGUAAAUUUGUAAAGAUCUAUCCUCACAUUGGCCAAUGUAUUUACACUGUAAAUGUGUAAACAAAUAUUUAAAACAUGAAUGGCCGACGAAAAUCUGGACAGCUGUCAGCUUCAACUCAGCAACUAACUUGUUCUAAUCUAUAUUUUUUUUAUUCGAUUUAUUAUCUAUUGACCGGGACAGUGAGUCACAUUUCAGAAUUAGAGCUCAUAUUGUUCUUUGGUCUCUGGGCAGGUUAUUCAAAAUUAGCAAUCUAAUACUAUUUGAACAAUUUAACAGCAAACACUAUAGUACAACACACUACUAUACAAUACAGUAAAAUAACAGCAGUACCAGAGAUGAGGUCGUUUAUGAAUACAUACGUCAAAACAUUAACACACAUUCAGAGAUAUCCGCACGUUGUCACAUUUAUGACACAUUUAGAUCUUCUACUACAUGUCUACACUCUCAGUACAGAUUUGUUCUGUAUAUGUAUGAAUCAUAUUCCGCUCAUACCGCACUGGACUCAUACUUUGCUGAUCACUGGAGUAUUGAGAAUUAAUUCUGCCCCCUAACAAGAACAAAGAAAGCUUGACUCCUGUCAUGUUUGUUUGUUUCAGGGUUUUAUUUGUCCAUCUUGUUUCCGUAAUGGGAGUCAUCGUUGACAUAUGACACUGCCAUGUCCUUUUUCUCCUGUAGGUGUCCCUGCAAACCCAAUCCAUGCUGCGAAGGAGAGUCACACACGGGAUGAAUCACACAGCUCAACAACCGUUAGCCGACAUUAUUGUGCCUGCAGCAUGAGUCAACAUACACAUGGAUAUGAAAUACAUGUGUUUCUCUGCAUCACAACCAGUGUGUUUACUAAAGUCAGGGAUGAGUAAGACUCAUCCCUGACUUUAGUUGGGUUGAAGGGAACAGGGAGACAGAGACAGGGAAAGGAAUGGGAAACAAUGAACAUUGCUUUAAAUAAGCUUAUAAACCCUGAUUGUUUCAUAAAACCAAGCUCUGAUGUUUGUGUUUCUGGAAAUGUGUGUGUGUGUGUGUGUGUGUGUGUCUGUGUGUGUGUGUGUGUGUGUGUGUGUGUGUGUGUGUGUGUGUGUGUGUGUGUGUGUGUGUGUUUGUGUGUGUGUGUGCGUGUGUAUGUGUGAGUGUGUGUCAUUUGGUGCUGCUGCUAACUGAUAUGUCAGAAAAUCAAUUAAUUACUUUUAAGCGGCAGCUAACUGCAUCCCCGCAAUACACCCCAUGAAUUAUAGACGAAGUAUGUGUGUGUGUGUGUGUGUGUGUGUGUGUGUGUGUAUGUGUGUGUGUGUGUGUGUGUGUGUGUGUGUGUGUGGUACAAUCGGUUGCUCUGUUAACUAGAGACAAUUGCUAACUUCUCCGUCAUUGAUCAACUGAUGAGAGUGCUCCGAUACAAAUCUACUGAGCUCUGAAGUGUCUGAACUGGCUCAUCAAUGUUUGCUUCUAUGGUGUGUGUGUGUGUGUGUGUCUGUGUGUGUGUGUGUGUGUGUGUGUGUGUGUGUGUGUGUGUGUCUGUGUCUGUGUGUGUGUGUGUGUGUAAUUCAAAAUAAGAACAAGGAAACCCUUUACACUUUCGUUGAUAUUAAAUUACAUUGACUAUAUGCCACAUUUGACUACAAGUCUUUUGUUAUAAAUUAUGAUUACCAUCAUAAAAAGCUCUUAAAAAUCAUGAAACUAUAAAAAUGUUGAUAUCACAUUGAAAACCACAAUUAAUGAAAGUUAAUUUGAGUAAAUUAGGGGAACCCUUAAAUAUGAGAGACCACAACCGUUGACACAAUGAGCCAGAUGAUACAGAUAUUAGUCAAAUCAACCCUUUCAUUGCAAAUUC